This 492-nucleotide ribosomal RNA is filed under the name uncultured bacterium. RNAcentral describes it as "partial 16S ribosomal RNA". It matches the Rfam family "Bacterial small subunit ribosomal RNA", at positions 28 to 507 of the family's 1533-position model. The record is from RNAcentral.
GAUGAACGCUAGCUACAGGCUUAACACAUGCAAGUCGAGGGGAAACGACAUCGAAAGCUUGCUUUUGAUGGGCGUCGACCGGCGCACGGGUGAGUAACGCGUAUCCAACCUGCCCAUCACUUGGGGAUAACCUUGCGAAAGUAAGACUAAUACCCAAUGAUAUCUCUAGAAGACAUCUGAAAGAGAUUAAAGAUUUAUCGGUGAUGGAUGGGGAUGCGUCUGAUUAGCUUGUUGGCGGGGUAACGGCCCACCAAGGCAACGAUCAGUAGGGGUUCUGAGAGGAAGGUCCCCCACAUUGGAACUGAGACACGGUCCACACUCCUACGGGAGGCAGCAGUGAGGAAUAUUGAUCAAUGGGCGAGAGCCUGAACCAGCCAAGUAGCGUGCAGGAAGACGGCCCUAUGGGUUGUAAACUGCUUUUAUAAGGGAAUAAAGUGAGAGUCGUGACUCUUUUUGUCUGUACCUUAUGAAUAAGGACCGGCUAAUUCCGUG